CGUUAAUUAAUGAUCUUUUCCUUCGGUAUAGUUCAGACCAGCAGCCAUAAAAUCAACAAGAAUCCUCCAUAUGAAGAGAGCCACAAUCCAAAUACCUGGUUGCUAUUCAUGGCUCGGCUUCUAAUUACUUGGCUCACAUGGACUCAGGCAAGACUGGCACCAAGAUGAUUGCCAAAAGGCCUUUCUUGAGACCUCUUCAGGGAUGAGACAAGAUAAAGGUCUCAAGUGGCCCAUGAAAGCUUGAGCCUCCACGGUGACACCAGAAUGCCAGUCAAAGGUCAGUGGGUGUCACUGUGAAAACCAGAAACAGAAGCCUGAUGCUUUACACUCCU
Molecule: long non-coding RNA, 332 nt
Filed under: Dasypus novemcinctus (nine-banded armadillo)
Lineage: Eukaryota; Metazoa; Chordata; Mammalia; Cingulata; Dasypodidae
Description: lncRNA (ENSDNOG00000050264.1)
Source: RNAcentral